ACGGGAGGCAGCAGUGGGGGAUAUUGCACAAUGGGGGAAACCCUGAUGCAGCGACGCCGCGUGAGCGAAGAAGUAUUUCGGUAUGUAAAGCUCUAUCAGCAGGGAAGAAAAUGACGGUACCUGACUAAGAAGCUCCGGCUAAAUACGUGCCAGCAGCCGCGGUAAUACGUAGGUGGCAAGCGUUGUCCGGAAUUACUGGGUGUAAAGGGUGCGUAGGCGGCUCAUAAAGUCAGAUGUGAAAUACCGAGGCUCAACCUCGGGGCUGCAUUUGAAACUUAUGGGCUUGAGUGAAGUAGAGGUAAGCGGAAUUCCUAGUGUAGCGGUGAAAUGCGUAGAUAUUAGGAGGAACACCAGUGGCGAAGGCGGCUUACUGGGCUUUAACUGACGCUGAGGCACGAAAGCAUGGGUAGCAAACAGGAUUAGAUACCCUGGUA
RNAcentral lists this ribosomal RNA (434 nucleotides) under uncultured bacterium. RNAcentral describes it as "partial 16S ribosomal RNA". It matches the Rfam family "Bacterial small subunit ribosomal RNA", at positions 341 to 792 of the family's 1533-position model. The record is from RNAcentral.